RNAcentral lists this ribosomal RNA (301 nucleotides) under uncultured bacterium. RNAcentral describes it as "partial 16S ribosomal RNA". It matches the Rfam family "Bacterial small subunit ribosomal RNA", at positions 509 to 807 of the family's 1533-position model. The record is from RNAcentral.
CAGUAGCCGCGGGAAUACGUAGGGUGCGAGCGCUAAUCGGAAUUACUGGGCGUAAAGCGUGCGCAGGCGGUUGUGUAAGACAGGUGUGAAAUCCCCGGGCUUAACCUGGGAACUGCGCUUGUGACUGCACAGCUAGAGUAUGGCAGAGGGGGGUGGAAUUCCACGUGUAGCAGUGAAAUGCGUAGAGAUGUGGAGGAACACCGAUGGCGAAGGCAGCCCCCUGGGCCAAUACUGACGCUCAUGCACGAAAGCGUGGGGAGCAAACAGGAUUAGAUACCCCCGUAGUCCCUGUCUCUUAUAC